ACAUCGGUAGCACAGUGGUCAGUGCAGUCUGAAAGACGCGGGUUCAAUUCCCGCCCGAUGUC
Molecule: transfer RNA, 62 nt
Filed under: Nippostrongylus brasiliensis
Lineage: Eukaryota; Metazoa; Nematoda; Chromadorea; Rhabditida; Heligmosomidae
Rfam family: tRNA
About the family: Transfer RNA (tRNA) molecules are approximately 80 nucleotides in length. Their secondary structure includes four short double-helical elements and three loops (D, anti-codon, and T loops). Further hydrogen bonds mediate the characteristic L-shaped molecular structure. tRNAs have two regions of fundamental functional importance: the anti-codon, which is responsible for specific mRNA codon recognition, and the 3' end, to which the tRNAs corresponding amino acid is attached (by aminoacyl-tRNA synthetases). tRNAs cope with the degeneracy of the genetic code in two manners: having more than one tRNA (with a specific anti-codon) for a particular amino acid; and 'wobble' base-pairing, i.e. permitting non-standard base-pairing at the 3rd anti-codon position.
Source: Rfam by way of RNAcentral